Long non-coding RNA from Formica exsecta, 540 nucleotides. RefSeq lists it as uncharacterized. The record is from RefSeq and is a predicted model, not a curated record. The transcript is spliced from 5 exons. NCBI's taxonomy places the organism in Eukaryota, Metazoa, Arthropoda, Insecta, Hymenoptera, Formicidae.
AUCCGGGUAGCAACAUGCGAUAUAUGCGUGCAAUGAUACGACUUCCGGUCUCUUCCCGCAUGGCUAUACAUGGAAAAAGCAGCAACGUAGAACAAUCGUUUUAAUUUCAGUGUUGUGUACGUUCUGUCAGCAGAACACGUAGCAGUGCAGAAUAAUACAUACAGUGCAAUUCUGACAGCAGCGAGAGAGAGGAGGCUGCAUAUAUUAGUGUUGUGUACGUUCUGUCAGCAGAACACGUAGCAGUGCAGAAUAAUACAUACAGUGCAAUUCUGACAGCAGCGAGAGAGAGGAGGCUGCAUAUAUUAGUGUUGCGUACGUUCUGUCAGCAGAACACGUAGCAGUGCAGAGUAAUACAUACAGUGCAAUUCUGACAGCAGCGAGAGAGAGGAGGCUGCAUAUAUUAAGUACGAAUACAAAUUCAAUAUGUUGGGUAAAAAACAUUUACACAAACGUAUAAUUACUUCCUCAUAUCGAAGGAAAAUGAUAAAAAUGGAAACAGAUAUUAUAAUGGAAUCUUAUGAAAACCUUAAAAUAUAAACA